Molecule: ribosomal RNA, 484 nt
Filed under: uncultured bacterium
Lineage: Bacteria
Description: partial 16S ribosomal RNA
Rfam family: Bacterial small subunit ribosomal RNA
Source: RNAcentral
AUUGAACGCUGGCGGCAGGCCUAACACAUGCAAGUCGAGCGGAUGAAGGGAGCUUGCUCCUGGAUUCAGCGGCGGACGGGUGAGUAAUGCCUAGGAAUCUGCCUGGUAGUGGGGGCUAACGUCCGGAAACGGGCGCUAAUACCGCAUACGUCCUGAGGGAGAAAGUGGGGGAUCUUCGGACCUCACGCUAUCAGAUGAGCCUAGGUCGGAUUAGCUAGUUGGUGGGGUAAAGGCCUACCAAGGCGACGAUCCGUAACUGGUCUGAGAGGAUGAUCAGUCACACUGGAACUGAGACACGGUCCAGACUCCUACGGGAGGCAGCAGUGGGGAAUAUUGGACAAUGGGCGAAAGCCUGAUCCAGCCAUGCCGCGUGUGUGAAGAAGGUCUUCGGAUUGUAAAGCACUUUAAGUUGGGAGGAAAGGCAGUAAGUUAAUACCUUGCUGUUUUGACGUUACCAACAGAAUAAGCACCGGCUAACUUCGUG